CGCCAGCCCGCUCAGAAACUCAAGGAAGUUGACGGGGCCCGCACAAGCGGUGAGCAUGUGGUUUAAUUCGAUGAUACGCGAGGAACCUUACCUGGGCUCAAAUGUAUGUUGACGUAUUCUGAAAGGGAUACUUCUUCGGACAAUAUACAAGGUGCUGCAUGGUUGUCGUCAGCUCGUGCCGUGAGGUGUCGGGUUAAGUCCCAUAACGAGCGCAACCCCUAUCAUUAGUUGCCAUCAGGUCAAGCUGGGGACUCUAAUGAAACUGCCUACGCAAGUAGUGAGGAAGGUGGGGAUGACGUCAAAUCAGCACGGCCCUUACGUCCAGGGCUACACACGUGCUACAAUGGCCGGUACAAAGGGCAGCUACCUGGUGACAGGAUGCUAAUCUCAAAAGCCGGUCUCAGUUCGGAUCGGAGUCUGCAACCCGACUCCGUGAAGCUGGAAUCGCUAGUAAUCGCGCAUCAGCCAUGGCGCGGUGAAUACGUUCCCGGGCCUU
This 496-nucleotide ribosomal RNA is filed under the name uncultured Sphingobacteriales bacterium. Its description in RNAcentral is "bacterial SSU rRNA". It matches the Rfam family "Bacterial small subunit ribosomal RNA", at positions 887 to 1382 of the family's 1533-position model. Lineage: Bacteria; Pseudomonadati; Bacteroidota; Sphingobacteriia; Sphingobacteriales. The record is from RNAcentral.